GUCACGAUAGCUCAAGUGGUCGAACAUCGGCGUGUUGAGCCGAAGGUCGUGGGUUCGAAUCCCGCUCGUGGCA
Molecule: transfer RNA, 73 nt
Filed under: Cimex lectularius (bed bug)
Lineage: Eukaryota; Metazoa; Arthropoda; Insecta; Hemiptera; Cimicidae
Description: tRNA-Asn
Rfam family: tRNA
About the family: Transfer RNA (tRNA) molecules are approximately 80 nucleotides in length.
Source: Rfam by way of RNAcentral